RNAcentral lists this ribosomal RNA (439 nucleotides) under uncultured bacterium. RNAcentral's name for it is "partial 16S ribosomal RNA". It matches the Rfam family "Bacterial small subunit ribosomal RNA", at positions 338 to 795 of the family's 1533-position model. The record is from RNAcentral.
CCUACGGGGUGCAGCAGUGGGGAAUAUUUCACAAUGGGCGAAAGCCUGAUGCAGCAACGCCGCGUGAGCGAUGGAGGCCUUCGGGUCGUAAAGCUCUGUCCUCAAGGAAGAUAAUGACGGUACUUGAGGAGGAAGCCCCGGCUAACUACGUGCAAGCAGCCGCGGUAAUACUUAGGGGGCUAGCGGUAUCCGGAAUUACUGGUCGAAAAGGGUGCGUAGGUGGUUUCUUAAGUCAGAGGUGAAAGGGUAGGGCUAAACCGUAGUAAGCCUUUGAAACUGGGGAACUUGAGUGCAGGAGAGGAGAGUGGAAUUCCUAGUGUAGCGGUGAAAUGCGUAGAUAUUAGGAGGAACACCAGUGGCGAAGGCGGCUCUCUGGACUGUAACUGACACUGAGGCACGAAAGCGUGGGGAGCAAACAGGAUUAGAUACCCGAGUAGUC